RNAcentral lists this small nuclear RNA (95 nucleotides) under Rhinolophus ferrumequinum (greater horseshoe bat). Lineage: Eukaryota; Metazoa; Chordata; Mammalia; Chiroptera; Rhinolophidae. The record is from RNAcentral.
GUGGCACAUAUACUAAAAUUGGAAUCUUGGAGAGAAGAUUAGCAUGGCCCCUGUGCAAGGAUGACACGCAAAUUCGUGAAAAAUUCCACAUUUAA